GUGCCACUCCCUGACCGGUUCCAGCAAGCCAAGGUCAGCCAUCAGACGUUCCACCAGAAUGCGCCUGGUCUGGUCCGGCAAUUCCAACUCACCCGUGACCAGGCCAAGGCCAUUGUGGCCACAUGUCCCCAGUGCCAAAACCAUCAAAUGCCUGCACUCAGUGCUGGGGCAAAUCCCCAAGGGCUUCAUAGCUGUGAGGUGUGGCAAAUGGACGUCACAAAGAUCCCAGAAUUUGGUAGACUAAGGGAUGUGCAUGUAUCGGUGGACACCUUUUCUGGCACCGUCUAUGCCUCUGCCCACGCAGGGGAGAGGGCAAAGGAUGUAAUCAACCACCUCAUCCAUGCCUUCUCUGUGUUGGGAGUCCCUAAGGUUUUAAAAAUGGACAAUGCUCCCGUGUAUGGAUCCAAGGAGCUCAGGAGCUUCCUACAGCAAUGGGGAGUGGAGCACAUGACCGGCAUCCCCCACUCCCCCACAGGUCAGGCCAUAGUUGAGAGGACCCACCAGAGGCUGAAGAAUAUCCUCGAACACCAACGAGCAGCAAUGAAGGCGGAGUCCCCUCAUAUCCAGCUGGCACAGGCAUUGUUCAUGCACAAUUUUCUGAAUUGUGCGUUUGAGAACCUGAACCCUCCCAUCACCCGGCAUUUCAAGACCAACCCUCAGCUGGAGCUGAAAGAGAAGCCCCCAGUCCUUAUAAAAAACCCAGAGACCUGCCUCAGCCCGAGACCAUCCUAAAAACAUCAUGGACCUCAAACACCUGGUCUUCCUGCUCUGCCUCACCAUCCCCAGCUCUGCAUGGAUUGUUCCCCAGCUGACUAAUAAUGUCUGGAAGACGUUGGCAUAAGCCCUUGGACAGGAUAAUAUCUGCCUGUCCACCUCCUCCACUGCUGACCCUUUCCUAUCCUGCCUUCCCUCAUUAUUUUUGGGAUUCUGAGACGGGUAGUGUCUGGCCUCAUCACAAAGGUGUUAACCAUCCACACCGCGAACCCAGCUGCCCUCUUCUCUGCCCAGGAGUCUGAUGGGGAUGAAGAAGACCAGCUAGUUCCAGAACCCGAAGAAGGACCCUGGAUGGAGAUGGCUCCCACCUGCCAGCCGUGGUUCGCUGACACCUAUCCGGACUCGGAAUUCCUACCGCGACCCGAAUUUAGUUCAUUUAAAAAAUACUUUAAAGGACUCUUUCUUCAGUUUUUCGUUUUGUUUAAAAUAAAGAAGGGGGAGUUGUUGGGUCGUGUUUUAAGUUCCCCCCAUGUUAUGGUUGUUCCCUCUUCCCCUCUUUAUGUUAAAUGGUCCAUCCCUCCUUCUCCUCCUCCCCCUCCGCCUGUCAGUCUUCCCUUUCCCCUCCCAUGUGAUGUAACUUUAUGCUGAGUCAUUUCCCUGACCCCACCCUGGGGCUUGUCUGUCACCCUGAGGCCUCUCCCUCCUUUCCAGAACCUUCCAGCUAAGGCCUCGGGUGAUGGGCUGAUCCCCGGGGACCCCUCCCUCCUUCUCACCUCACUGGACACCCCUCCUGAUUGUCAUUCCCUUCACCACUCCCAGGUGGUUCCCUAUUGGUUCACUAUUGUUCCCUCCCUGUGUUGCCACCCCCUGUUAUAUACCCAUGCAAGCUGUUCUCAGUUGCCUUUUGGGGCGUACCCGAUUCAAGUUGAGGUUAGUCUUGUGGACCAAUAAACUUGGAGCUGUGAUACCCCCAAAA
This is a non-coding RNA of Taeniopygia guttata (zebra finch), 1690 nucleotides long. The record is from RefSeq and is a predicted model, not a curated record. NCBI's taxonomy places the organism in Eukaryota, Metazoa, Chordata, Aves, Passeriformes, Estrildidae.